This 847-nucleotide ribosomal RNA is filed under the name Pseudomonas sp. AKB-2008-HE54. RNAcentral's name for it is "bacterial SSU rRNA". It matches the Rfam family "Bacterial small subunit ribosomal RNA", at positions 22 to 864 of the family's 1533-position model. Lineage: Bacteria; Pseudomonadati; Pseudomonadota; Gammaproteobacteria; Pseudomonadales; Pseudomonadaceae. The record is from RNAcentral.
GCUCAGAUUGAACGCUGGCGGCAGGCCUAACACAUGCAAGUCGAGCGGUAGAGAGAAGCUUGCUUCUCUUGAGAGCGGCGGACGGGUGAGUAAUGCCUAGGAAUCUGCCUAGUGGUGGGGGAUAACGUUCGGAAACGGACGCUAAUACCGCAUACGUCCUACGGGAGAAAGCGGGGGAUCUUCGGACCUCGCGCCAUUAGAUGAGCCUAGGUCGGAUUAGCUAGUUGGUGAGGUAAUGGCUCACCAAGGCGACGAUCCGUAACUGGUCUGAGAGGAUGAUCAGUCACACUGGAACUGAGACACGGUCCAGACUCCUACGGGAGGCAGCAGUGGGGAAUAUUGGACAAUGGGCGAAAGCCUGAUCCAGCCAUGCCGCGUGUGUGAAGAAGGUCUUCGGAUUGUAAAGCACUUUAAGUUGGGAGGAAGGGCAGUAACCUAAUACGUUAUUGUUUUGACGUUACCGACAGAAUAAGCACCGGCUAACUUCGUGCCAGCAGCCGCGGUAAUACGAAGGGUGCAAGCGUUAAUCGGAAUUACUGGGCGUAAAGCGCGCGUAGGUGGUUCAGUAAGUUGGAAGUGAAAUCCCCGGGCUCAACCUGGGAACUGCUUUCAAAACUGCUGAGCUAGAGUACGGUAGAGGGUGGUGGAAUUUCCUGUGUAGCGGUGAAAUGCGUAGAUAUAGGAAGGAACACCAGUGGCGAAGGCGACCACCUGGACUGAUACUGACACUGAGGUGCGAAAGCGUGGGGAGCAAACAGGAUUAGAUACCCUGGUAGUCCACGCCGUAAACGAUGUCAACUAGCCGUUGGGUUCCUUGAGAACUUAGUGGCGCAGCUAACGCAUUAAG